CCUCGUUCGAUUUAGGUCCAAUUAGAUAUUGACUCUUUGAGUAGCUCGUAUAGGCAGCGAACGCUAUACCAGUCCAUAAUGGAUGCCAGCAAAGGUCAUUGAUGACUUUAUUAGCCACGUGCUGUUCAUCGUGAAAGCUCAAGUGUUCCUCAUAGCUUACAGAUUGAAAGAAAACUAACUUGAUCGCACACAUAGUCGCUGAAACGAUGAAGGAAGCUCCUCAAAGAUUCUACUUUAUCUGGCGUAAAUUUCGAUAUAUCCGGAGACUUAUAUUCAUAUUUAUACUGAACCCAACAAUUUUUUACGAGGAAUAUUUUCAAAGAUUUGACGGUAAGGAAGAAGUUCGAUGUAUCCAUCUCUAACAUCGUUUACUUUUCUGUCUUCGAAUUGGAAUGACGCAUUGAAUAUAUCUGCUGUUCCUAUUACCUAAAAUGAACCGAUGAUGUACGAUCAUCCAAAAGUGAACAUUUACUUAUUUUUAACAAAAUGUAAUAUAAUUGCAAAAUUAUCAAAAAGAAUAUUCAGGACGAUUUUAUCUUAAAUAUCGUAAAAUAUUACAUUAUAUAUACAUAUAUAUAUAUAUAUAAUUAUAUACCAUAGAUUCUCUAUAUGUGUAUAGUAAAAGUCCAUUUCAUUCUCCA
This 641-nucleotide unclassified non-coding RNA is filed under the name Bombus terrestris (buff-tailed bumblebee). Its description in RNAcentral is "misc RNA ENSBTSG00005019655.1". Lineage: Eukaryota; Metazoa; Arthropoda; Insecta; Hymenoptera; Apidae. The record is from RNAcentral.